UAGAAGAUGAAACUCCCUUAAAAGUCCUACACAACACCACUGCCCUCCUGCACAGCAUGGACGCCGCCAUCUUUCUUCAUCCCCUAAAAGGACCCGGAGAAGUCGUAGGUGACUACUGCAGUGCCUGUUCAGCACGGCCUGUACAGCCCAGCCCAGGGUCCUAAUGAGAUGAUGAAUGGGAGCAUACGGAGUGAUGGAGGCUCUCGAUCCACCAGUGACUGCUAAUUUAAGGGGAGAUUCAUCAAAUGUGGGCCUGCACUCAUGCACCUUCAUAAAACAGUGCCGGGGUCCAGUGAAGAUGAAUGGAGGUACCUAAAGGGUGUGUGCCAGCGCAUGAUGUGGAGGGUGUCAAGCUGAUCUGAUUGGUGGAAAAGAGAGAGAGAGAUGGAUGAAUCAGGACUGUGGAGAGAGGAGGGGAUCAGCUGAGAGCAGACAGAGAGGGAGGUAGAACUGAAAACAGAUGGCAGAGCUGGCACCUGUCUUAAACUAAAAUCUGUUUGGAGCCGUUUUCCACAUGUCUUUAAAAAAAAAAAAAAGCCCAUUCUGCAUAUUAUGCCAAAAAAAGACACUCUCAGGUUUUAACCCUUUGUGACCAUGCCCUCCCUUUAGCUUUUCAGUCAUAAUAGGAUGCCCCCCUUUGAACAGGAGGAGAUACAAAAACCCUCUCAAAUCCUUCCACUCUGUCUCACCCGGGCCUUGUAAGCAAACAGAGGGGGCAUUCAGAGCAGGAGUCUCAUUUAAAGCGUUAAUCUGUGGGCCACAUGCUGCACAACAGCAGAGGACCAAACGAGCACCGCAGACCUGACAACGCACGCGCACACACACGUACGCAGACACUCAGAUCAGCCAGGCUUGCCCAGGCUAAACAUGGCAUGUAUUUGGCAAGUGAGGAAGUCUGUUCCAGGUGGCUGCAUAUAUAAGUUGCAAUCAGUUUGAACCCUCUUAGGUCACUCUCCUUCAAAGAACCAUACUGAGACUCUUACAUGUUUGAGCCCAUUUACUGUUAAUCAAAAGUACCUUGCCAAAGGACCAAAAGUUUAGCAAAUUUUAAAAAGAGUUUUGAAUGCUUUUGCUUUCUAGCCACCCAUUGUUUCCCUUUCAUUUCUGUGAAGUAUGAAAAUCUACUUGCACAGACUUCAAACUUGAUAGGUGAUCCACCAGAGUGAAUUUUGCUCUGCCAAAGUUACACGAUGCUGAAACGCUGACUGUUUUUGAAAAGUCUGCUGCUGCGUUAACAUGUGAUGAUGAGGUAACUUUGACUAUAACUUUUCCCUGCUUAUGUAGCUUUCUCUGUAAGUUGAAGAUUGUCAAACCAUAUGAAUGAAUGAAAAACAGCGGUGGCCUGGAACACAGGGAUAAAAAUCUGAAGGGGAAAAAAUGAAGUGUACAUGAUUUGUAGUGUAUGGGCUAGAACACUAAACAACAUGUGGUGUGUGUUUUUGUAGUUAUAAGGAAUGCUAUUAGAUUUAUUGUCAGUGUAUCAGUGUAUAAUUUUAGUGUUAUCACUGUCAAAUAUGGUUAGUUUUCCAAUUAAACAGGAAGUUAUGCAAAGUUUUUCCAGUAUGACUCUCUGUUGUAGAGGGGAUCAUAACAAACCAAAAUUCUCUAGGGGCUGUGCUCAAGAGGAAAUAGGAGUUUUUUAAUGAACAAAUUCUGUAACACUAUUAUAAAUGGUGUUGGAAAAUUAAUACAUACAUUUACUCAAGUACCAUACUUAAGUACAGUUUUGAAUUACCUGUAUUUUACUUGAGUAUUUCUAUGUUACUUUACACCUCUACUCCACUAAACAUUACUGUACAUGCACAUUAUUGCAUCAAUAAUAAUAAUCCAGUAAUACAAUAUAUAAUCAGUUAUUCUGAAAUGGGCCAUUCAGCAUAAUGAGCGCUCUUACUAAUGGUUCUCUAAAUAUAUAUAUGUUGUUGUGAAUACAUCUGUACUUGGUUUAUUAAUGCACACAUGACUUGAUGCAGGGUGUAUCAUUAAUUCCUCACCAUUGUGAUCACGCCACUGUAAAAUUCAUACAUUAAUUUGUAUGCAACCGAUCUUGCAUGAGUCCAGUCACACAGGGAAGUGAUCAGCCUCUCUGAAAGCAGGACAGCACCAGCUCUCAUAGAAAUAUGGAGCUGCUUUUCUCAAGCUGGUUGUCAGAUGCAGACACUACAUUUUGUCGCAUGAUCUAAUUGAUUGAUGUCAUUUUUACAAGUUAAGGGGGAAGAUUUUAAGAAAAUGUUAUUGCAAGUUUUUUUUUGUUUAUUUUAUUUUAUUUUUUUUUUGAAAGAAGAGGAGCAUAGCAUGGAAGAAAAUAGUGCUCUAAACAUCCAGCAGAUGUGAGAUGACAAAUCAGCAGACGAAGGGACAGAUGUGUCCAAAAGUUUACACUGUAAAAACACAAGACAGAAAAACAGGGAAAUAAUAUUGUGUUAGGAACAUGACUUGAUGUUUUGUAUCAGAGGGUACGUGUGACAAAAAAGAGCUUCAUAUUUCUCUGAGCACAACCACUGCUCUGCUUUCAGAUGAACUGAAAAUUCUAAAAUGUUUUUUUUUAAAUAAUUGACAUACAUAACAUAAUAUGACUCAACACAACAGAUGGGUCAACAGAAGCAUAUACAACAGACCAUACAACUGUAACAUUUACCACAUGGACAUUUCUAAGACCACAAUAAGUGGGGGUUGAGGAUAAAAGCACAUGUUGUAUCUAUGGUGUGGUGUUAGAACUGGGGGUAAGCUAUGGGUUAAUUCUGUUUAUGAGUGGUCGGGUGUGUUUAUAUGGGUGAAAUGUCCUUUUCUAUUCAACUUGAUUUCAGUGACAAACAAAUUAACGUAUGAAGUAACUGUGAUGUGACAUUACUUCUCUAUUAACUAAUCACAUUGAGUCAUGCAUUAAUGACACAUUAGUUCGGCAAUUUAUUUUGAAAUGUGCCCUCAAGUUCUUUCAACCUUUUCUCCAAAACAACCAGGAGCGUUUGUGGUUCUCCCAACACACCAGCAGAGUGCGCCAGAGGACCCGCGUCUCGCUUCAGGCUGUCUCGUCUUUAUUCCAUACUUAAUCUGCAGCUCACAACUCUCCACACAUUCAGCUCUUAACUCCAACACAAAGGUUGCAGUGAGCCAGAGCGCAUACACCUGUCAAAGGUUGUUGUCACCCACGCCUUUCAACUCCCACCAAAACUUUUAUAAACUGAAAAUAGCUCCUUUCCUUCCCUCCUCUCACUUCUUUCUUUUUCUUCUUUUUUUUUCCAAGGGAACCACAAAUUGUGUCCAGAUUUUCACACAUAGUAACUUAGUGUUUUGGGCAAUUUGGAACUGAAACAAUUACAAACAAACCUGUAUUAUACCCCGUCUCCGCUAUUGGAUCUGACUAGAAAAGACAAGAAAAUAAAACGUUUCUGUUUUCCCCCUCAGGUUAUUUUAGAUUGUGGGCUCAUUUUCUAAUUAUGGUGGCCAUUCUUUAAGCAUGCAGCGCAUGUUUCUCAGUAAUUUCUAGCUUUAAUGAAAAUCUGCACACACCAGUGCACAGAAAGAAAAAAAAAACUGAAGAUCAUUCUGAUUUGCUAACCUUUGGCAACAUGUUGCUUUUGUGUAUGGGGAUAAUAAAUUAUGAUCAGAGUUACAA
Molecule: long non-coding RNA, 3613 nt
Organism: Lates calcarifer (barramundi perch)
Lineage: Eukaryota; Metazoa; Chordata; Actinopteri; Centropomidae
Exons: 3
Source: RefSeq, a predicted model, not a curated record